This 253-nucleotide ribosomal RNA is filed under the name uncultured bacterium. RNAcentral describes it as "partial 16S ribosomal RNA". It matches the Rfam family "Bacterial small subunit ribosomal RNA", at positions 524 to 776 of the family's 1533-position model. The record is from RNAcentral.
GACAGAGGGGGCAAGCGUUGCUCGGAAUCACUGGGCGUAAAGGGCGCGUAGGCGGGCUGGCAAGUCGGUCGUGAAAUCCUUCGGCUCAACCGAAGAACGUCGGCCGAUACUGCCGUUCUUGAGGGAUGCAGAGGAGAUUGGAAUUCCCGGUGUAGCGGUGAAAUGUGUAGAGAUCGGGAGGAACACCGGUGGCGAAGGCGGUUCUCUGGGCCUUACCUGACGCUGAGGAGCGAAAGCGUGGGGAGCAAACAGG